GCCUGGGUGGCUCAGUCGGUUAAGCGUCUGACUUAGGCUCAGGUCAUGAUCUCAUGGUUUGUGGGUUCGAGCCCUGCAUCAGGCU
This 85-nucleotide transfer RNA is filed under the name Felis catus (domestic cat). It matches the Rfam family "tRNA". From Rfam's summary of the family: Transfer RNA (tRNA) molecules are approximately 80 nucleotides in length. Their secondary structure includes four short double-helical elements and three loops (D, anti-codon, and T loops). Further hydrogen bonds mediate the characteristic L-shaped molecular structure. tRNAs have two regions of fundamental functional importance: the anti-codon, which is responsible for specific mRNA codon recognition, and the 3' end, to which the tRNAs corresponding amino acid is attached (by aminoacyl-tRNA synthetases). tRNAs cope with the degeneracy of the genetic code in two manners: having more than one tRNA (with a specific anti-codon) for a particular amino acid; and 'wobble' base-pairing, i.e. permitting non-standard base-pairing at the 3rd anti-codon position. The record is from Rfam by way of RNAcentral. Lineage: Eukaryota; Metazoa; Chordata; Mammalia; Carnivora; Felidae. RNAcentral also lists the same sequence under 2 other names.